GAUGAACGCUGGCGGCGUGCCUAAUACAUGCAAGUAGAACGCUGAAGGAGGAGCUUGCUCUUCUGGAUGAGUUGCGAACGGGUGAGUAACGCGUAGGUAACCUGCCUGGUAGCGGGGGAUAACUAUUGGAAACGAUAGCUAAUACCGCAUGACAACAGUUAUUGCAUGAUAACUGUUUAAAAGGGGCAACUGCUCCACUACCAGAUGGACCUGCGUUGUAUUAGCUAGUUGGUGAGGUAACGGCUCACCAAGGCGACGAUACAUAGCCGACCUGAGAGGGUGAUCGGCCACACUGGGACUGAGACACGGCCCAGACUCCUACGGGAGGCAGCAGUAGGGAAUCUUCGGUAAUGGACGGAAGUCUGACCGAGCAACGCCGCGUGAGUGAAGAAGGUUUUUGGAUCGUAAAGCUCUGUUGUAAGAGAAGAACGAGUGUGAGAGUGGAAAGUUCACACUGUGACGGUAUCUUACCAGAAAGGGACGGCUAACUACGUG
This 495-nucleotide ribosomal RNA is filed under the name uncultured bacterium. Its description in RNAcentral is "partial 16S ribosomal RNA". It matches the Rfam family "Bacterial small subunit ribosomal RNA", at positions 28 to 507 of the family's 1533-position model. The record is from RNAcentral.